Molecule: transfer RNA, 64 nt
Filed under: Cavia porcellus (domestic guinea pig)
Lineage: Eukaryota; Metazoa; Chordata; Mammalia; Rodentia; Caviidae
Rfam family: tRNA
About the family: Transfer RNA (tRNA) molecules are approximately 80 nucleotides in length. Their secondary structure includes four short double-helical elements and three loops (D, anti-codon, and T loops).
Source: Rfam by way of RNAcentral
GGGGAUUUAGCUCAGUGGCAUAAGCACCUGCCUUGCAAGCAGGCCGACGUGAGUUCAAUCCUCG